ACUACCAGUGAAAUCCGACCCCAAAAUCCAAGGAAGAUGCCUAAUUUGACUACUCAGCUGGUUGUGUCUCUAAGCUUAUGCUUGUUUCUUCUGAGUUUUUCCUACUCUGCCGAGGCAACUACAAGACAAAUUACUGGGACAAGAACAAAUGAUAUCCAAUGUGAUCGCAUUGGAGAACCAUGUAAAAACGAUCGUAGUUGCAGUACUAAAUGCACACUAGUAGGUUAUACUGGAGGCAUUUGUGUGCGUCAUCAUGAUGAGAAGAUUGAUGUUAACAGAUACAAAGUUGUAAAUCUAUAUGGUUGUUGUUGUACAAAUCCCUCGAGUUGAUGGGUCUCUAGUCUUGUCUUCACGAUGUCCCAAAUAAUACUAAGAAGAAGAAAAUGGUAAUAAAUGACCAAUUCUUCUUUUGAUGGA
Papaver somniferum (opium poppy) is the source of this 417-nucleotide long non-coding RNA. RefSeq lists it as uncharacterized. The transcript has 2 exons. Lineage: Eukaryota; Viridiplantae; Streptophyta; Magnoliopsida; Ranunculales; Papaveraceae. The record is from RefSeq and is a predicted model, not a curated record.